This 681-nucleotide ribosomal RNA is filed under the name Trochinae sp. STW-2009. RNAcentral describes it as "partial 12S ribosomal RNA". It matches the Rfam family "Bacterial small subunit ribosomal RNA", at positions 519 to 1384 of the family's 1533-position model. Lineage: Eukaryota; Metazoa; Mollusca; Gastropoda; Trochida; Trochidae. The record is from RNAcentral.
GACAAGCGGAUCGAAUCAAGAUUUGUUCGGUAUGAUGGGGUUAGAGGGUUUAGAGUGUGCGGAAAACCAGGCUUAUUUUAUAGAGGUGGAAUUUGAAUAAAAGAAGUUGGUUUAUUUGUUUUCUUGUUUUGACGCCCCAAAAGUUCGGUAGAAGACCGGGAUUAGAUACCCCGUUAUUUGUCCUGUAAACUUUAAUUAGUGUUGGUAAAUUUACUCGGGUAUUACGAGCUGCUUGAGUGAGUGGUUAUGCUCAGCGGAACGCUUAAAACUCAAAAAACUUGGCGGUGCCUUAAUUCCUUCCAGGGGAACCUGUCCUGUAAUCGAUGGUCCACGGUUUAACCUACCUUUUCUUGUAUUUAACUUGCUACAGGUAAGUAACAGCUUGUAUACCGUCGUCGUCAGAUUACCUUUGAGAGUGGUAGAAAGUUGUCGGUAGAAAUGGGCACAUAAUUUAAUGUGUGUGCAUGUUCUUAGUAAUAUGUUUAGGUCACAGUAUAAGUGAUGUGUAUAUUUUCGAUGUCAGAUCAAGGUGCAGCUUAUGAAAAGGGAGAGAUGGGUUACAAUAAAUAUUUAAUAUACGGAUUUUGUUCUGUAAUGAUCAAUUGAAGGUGGACUUGGGAGUAAUACAGUAAAUAAUUUUGGAAAAUAGUGAGUUAGUGUGAAUUAGGUACUAAGGUGUGU